This 580-nucleotide ribosomal RNA is filed under the name uncultured bacterium. Its description in RNAcentral is "bacterial SSU rRNA". It matches the Rfam family "Bacterial small subunit ribosomal RNA", at positions 102 to 679 of the family's 1533-position model. The record is from RNAcentral.
ACGGGUGAGAAACGCGUAGGAAUCUGCCUUACAGAGGGGGACAACCGGAGGAAACUCCGGCUAAUACCGCAUAAGGUCUAAGGACCAAAGGCUGGGUAGCAAUACCUGGCGCUGUGAGAGGAGCCUGCGUCCGAUUAGCUAGUUGGUAGGGUAAAGGCCUACCAAGGCGAUGAUCGGUAGCUGGUCUGAGAGGAUGAUCAGCCACACUGGGACUGAGACACGGCCCAGACUCCUACGGGAGGCAGCAGUGGGGAAUAUUGGACAAUGGGGGCAACCCUGAUCCAGCAAUACCGCGUGUGUGAAGAAGGCCUUCGGGUUGUAAAGCACUUUAGGUUGGGAAGAAGGCGUGUUGUUUAAGAGAUGAUACGUUUGACUGUACCGACAGAAUAAGCACCGGCUAACUCUGUGCCAGCAGCCGCGGUAAUACAGAGGGUGCAAGCGUUAAUCGGAGUUACUGGGCGUAAAGGGCGCGUAGGCGGUUAUGCAAGUGAGACGUGAAAGCCCCGGGCUUAACCUGGGAAUGUCGUCUUAAACUGCAUGACUGGAGUACUGUAGAGGGUAGUGGAAUUUCCGGUGUAGC